RNAcentral lists this ribosomal RNA (654 nucleotides) under fungal endophyte. RNAcentral's name for it is "eukaryotic LSU rRNA". The stretch from base 176 to 329 matches the Rfam family "5.8S ribosomal RNA". The record is from RNAcentral. Lineage: Eukaryota; Fungi.
UUACUGAGUUUACGCUCUAUAACCCUUUGUGAACAUACCUAUAACUGUUGCUUCGGCGGGUAGGGUCUCCGCGACCCUCCCGGCCUCCCGCCUCCGGGCGGGUCGGCGCCCGCCGGAGGAUAACCAAACUCUGAUUUAACGACGUUUCUUCUGAGUGGUACAAGCAAAUAAUCAAAACUUUUAACAACGGAUCUCUUGGUUCUGGCAUCGAUGAAGAACGCAGCGAAAUGCGAUAAGUAAUGUGAAUUGCAGAAUUCAGUGAAUCAUCGAAUCUUUGAACGCACAUUGCGCCCGCCAGCAUUCUGGCGGGCAUGCCUGUUCGAGCGUCAUUUCAACCCUCAAGCUCUGCUUGGUGUUGGGGCCCUACAGCUGAUGUAGGCCCUCAAAGGUAGUGGCGGACCCUCCCGGAGCCUCCUUUGCGUAGUAACUUUACGUCUCGCACUGGGAUCCGGAGGGACUCUUGCCGUAAAACCCCCCAAUUUUCCAAAGGUUGACCUCGGAUCAGGUAGGAAUACCCGCUGAACUUAAGCAUAUCAAUAAGCGGAGGAAAAGAAACCAACAGGGAUUGCCUCAGUAACGGCGAGUGAAGCGGCAACAGCUCAAAUUUGAAAUCUGGCCCUAGGCCCGAGUUGUAAUUUGCAGAGGAUGCUUUUG